UACGUAGGGGGCAAGCGUUAUCCGGAUUUACUGGGUGUAAAGGGAGCGUAGACGGCAGCACAAGUCUGGAGUGAAAUCCCAUGGCUUAACCAUGGAACUGCUUUGGAAACUGUCAGUCUUGAGUACCGGAGAGGUCAUCGGAAUUCCUUGUGUAGCGGUGAAAUGCGUAGAUAUAAGGAAGAACACCAGUAGCGAAGGCGGCUGUCUGGUCUGCAACUGACGUUGAGGCUCGAAAGCGUGGGGAGCAAACAGG
This 253-nucleotide ribosomal RNA is filed under the name uncultured Eubacteriales bacterium. RNAcentral describes it as "uncultured Clostridiales bacterium partial 16S ribosomal RNA". It matches the Rfam family "Bacterial small subunit ribosomal RNA", at positions 524 to 776 of the family's 1533-position model. The record is from RNAcentral. Lineage: Bacteria; Bacillati; Bacillota; Clostridia; Eubacteriales.